UUUGAACUUCAUUCGUCCACAGCGGCAUUAAGUAGAGCAAUGCUUGGUCCACUCCAAAUAGUCCCAACAGUUGGGGCUUUCCCUGUUAUUUGGCCAGAUAAUAGGCUGAAAUAAACAACCACUGACUGCAAAUGAUAGACAAAUGAGUAAGCACAGUACCACCUUAAGGCUAGAACAAACAAAAAAAAAUAUUACUAUGAAGUAUGAUUUGUUAUUGCUCACCUCAUCUCUUAAUCAUUUGGUUGGAGGUUCGAUCUCCACGGAUGAAAAUAGAGAUCAUUUCAUGUCCAGCUGUUUAUGUAACACCCCUAAUUCGUAUUCGUCGCCGAAAUAGGGUUACGAAGUACUACAGGACAAUGGAAUAGUAAAUCAUUCAAAUCAUACAUUAAUACAAAUAUAAUCAAAUUUCAUUCAAAUACAUUCAUAAUGUUUCUUAAUCGAGCCCUCGAGGCCUUAAAAAUACUAUAGAAACAGUUCGGGAUUAAAUCAAAAAUUUUAGGAAAUUUUAGGAAAAAAAAAGCUGUAAAAAUUGGGCUGCAGGGGUCACACAGCCGUGUGCUAGGCCGUGUAACAGCCUGACUUGCAUGCCUUGAACCUACAGGGGACACACGGCUGUGUCGCAUGGCUGUGUGUGACACAUGGCUGAGACACAUGCCCGUGUCUCAAGCCCUGUGGCCUCAAAAUGAACCUUUAAACACAAGUUUACCAUUUUAAAUUGCUUGGACCUUAAGAAACUCAAAUACUAACCAAAAUACAAAAUCAAAAUGACAUUAAUCAGAUAAAAAACACAUCAAAACCAACCUAAUAUGUGCCUAACCAAUGACCCUCAUUGGUACCACAAUUAUGUACAACUUAAUCUCAAAAUACACAUUAAUUUAAUUCAUCAGCUCAUUCAAGUAAUAUCAAAUCAAAAUAUCAAACAAAGUUACUGCAACCACAACAAACCAAAUAUAUGUAAGCCACACAUACUAACAUAACAACUAUACCUCAUUCUCAUACCCUUUGCAAAUUGGUUAUUUGCACAAAAUAUCAUUCAUAACAUUUACAUAAGCCAAACAUUAACCAAAAUAGCACAAGAGCCUAUACAUGCCAUAUAAUCCGAAUUUAACAUUUCAAAAACUAACGAGAUAAAAUGGAUAAUGUGGCUUGAGUGCCAAUCCGGUCGUCCAACCUUCCUAAAAUCUACAAUGAUAUUAAACAACACAAGUAAGCUUAAUGAAGCUUAGUAAGUUCGGCAAGUUAAACAAAAAUCUUACUGAACUAACUAUAAUAAAUCAACUAAUAAAAAUCAUCCAAGACAACACUCUGUCAUUCACAACUUCAAUCGAUAAAUACAUCCAUAUUCAAAUCAAUACAAAAAUAAAUAACAUGUCUUUCAAAUUCAUUAAAUAAAUCACCUUACCGAGAUUUUUUCAUUCGAAGAACAACUUACGGGUAAGAGUAUAUCGUCAACAGAAGCUCAUAAGAGCUGGUCCUCCCAAAUACGCCAACAGAAU
Molecule: long non-coding RNA, 1496 nt
Filed under: Gossypium barbadense (sea-island cotton)
Lineage: Eukaryota; Viridiplantae; Streptophyta; Magnoliopsida; Malvales; Malvaceae
Description: long non-coding RNA (GBAR_LNC021389)
Source: RNAcentral